CUGAACCAGCCAAGUAGCGUGAAGGAUGACUGCCCUAUGGGUUGUAAACUUCUUUUAUACGGGAAUAAAGUGAGGCACGUGUGUCUUUUUGUAUGUACCGUAUGAAUAAGGAUCGGCUAACUCCGUGCCAGCAGCCGCGGUAAUACGGAGGAUCCGAGCGUUAUCCGGAUUUAUUGGGUUUAAAGGGAGCGUAGGCGGACGCUUAAGUCAGUUGUGAAAGUUUGCGG
RNAcentral lists this ribosomal RNA (227 nucleotides) under uncultured Bacteroides sp. RNAcentral's name for it is "partial 16S ribosomal RNA". It matches the Rfam family "Bacterial small subunit ribosomal RNA", at positions 383 to 607 of the family's 1533-position model. Lineage: Bacteria; Pseudomonadati; Bacteroidota; Bacteroidia; Bacteroidales; Bacteroidaceae. The record is from RNAcentral.